GCCGAAAGGCGUAGUCGAUGGGAAACGGGUUAAUAUUCCCGUACUUGGUGUUACUGCGAAGGGGGGACGGAGAAGGCUAUGUUGGCCGGGCGACGGUUGUCCCGGUUUAAGCGUGUAGGCUGGUUUUCCAGGCAAAUCCGGAAAAUCAAGGCUGAGGCGUGAUGACGAGGCACUACGGUGCUGAAGCAACAAAUGCCCUGCUUCCAGGAAAAGCCUCUAAGCAUCAGGUAACAUCAAAUCGUACCCCAAACCGACACAGGUGGUCAGGUAGAGAAUACCAAGGCGCUUGAGAGAACUCGGGUGAAGGAACUAGGCAAAAUGGUGCCGUAACUUCGGGAGAAGGCACGCUGACACGUAGGUGAAGUGAUUUACUCAUGGAGCUGAAGUCAGUCGAAGAUACCAGCUGGCUGCAACUGUUUAUUAAAAACACAGCACUGUGCAAACACGAAAGUGGACGUAUACGGUGUGACGCCUGCCCGGUGCCGGAAGGUUAAUUGAUGGGGUCAGCGCAAGCGAAGCUCCUGAUCGAAGCCCCGGUAAACGGCGGCCGUAACUAUAACGGUCCUAAGGUAGCGAAAUUCCUUGUCGGGUAAGUUCCGACCUGCACGAAUGGCGUAAUGAUGGCCAGGCUGUCUCCACCCGAGACUCAGUGAAAUUGAACUCGCUGUGAAGAUGCAGUGUACCCGCGGCAAGACGGAAAGACCCCGUGAACCUUUACUAUAGCUUGACACUGAACAUUGAGCCUUGAUGUGUAGGAUAGGUGGGAGGCUUUGAAGUGUGGACGCCAGUCUGCAUGGAGCCGACCUUGAAAUACCACCCUUUAAUGUUUGAUGUUCUAACGUGGACCCGUUACCCGGGUUGCGGACAGUGUCUGGUGGGUAGUUUGACUGGGGCGGUCUCCUCCUAAAGAGUAACGGAGGAGCACGAAGGUUGGCUAAUCCUGGUCGGACAUCAGGAGGUUAGUGCAAUGGCAUAAGCCAGCUUGACUGCGAGCGUGACGGCGCGAGCAGGUGCGAAAGCAGGUCAUAGUGAUCCGGUGGUUCUGAAUGGAAGGGCCAUCGCUCAACGGAUAAAAGGUACUCCGGGGAUAACAGGCUGAUACCGCCCAAGAGUUCAUAUCGACGGCGGUGUUUGGCACCUCGAUGUCGGCUCAUCACAUCCUGGGGCUGAAGUAGGUCCCAAGGGUAUGGCUGUUCGCCAUUUAAAGUGGUACGCGAGCUGGGUUUAGAACGUCGUGAGACAGUUCGGUCCCUAUCUGCCGUGGGCGCUGGAGAACUGAGGGGGGCUGCUCCUAGUACGAGAGGACCGGAGUGGACGCAUCACUGGUGUUCGGGUUGUCAUGCCAAUGGCACUGCCCGGUAGCUAAAUGCGGAAGAGAUAAGUGCUGAAAGCAUCUAAGCACGAAACUUGCCCCGAGAUGAGUUCUCCCUGAGACUUAGAGUCUCCUGAAGGAACGUUGAAGACGACGACGUUGAUAGGCCGGGUGUGUAAGCGCAGCGAUGCGUUGA
Molecule: ribosomal RNA, 1508 nt
Filed under: Salmonella enterica subsp. enterica serovar Enteritidis
Lineage: Bacteria; Pseudomonadati; Pseudomonadota; Gammaproteobacteria; Enterobacterales; Enterobacteriaceae
Description: partial 23S ribosomal RNA
Rfam family: Bacterial large subunit ribosomal RNA
Source: RNAcentral